CGGGUAGCAAUACCCAGUCGAGCGGCGGACGGGUGAGUAACGCGUGGAUAAUCUACCUUUUGGUGGGGGAUAACCCGGGGAAACUCGAGCUAAUACCGCAUGAGAUCGAAAGAUGAAAGGGGCGCAAGUCCCGCCGGAAGAGGAGUCCGCGUCCGAUUAGCUAGUUGGUAGGGUAAUGGCCUACCAAGGCGACGAUCGGUAGCCGGCCUGAGAGGGUGAUCGGCCACACUGGAACUGAGACACGGUCCAGACUCCUACGGGAGGCAGCAGUGGGGAAUUUUGCGCAAUGGGCGAAAGCCUGACGCAGCAACGCCGCGUGGAGGAUGAAGGUCUUUGGAUUGUAAACUCCUGUCAGCAGGGAAGAAGGCCUCGGCGCAGAGCCGAGGAUUGACGGUACCUGCAGAGGAAGCCCCGGCUAACUCUGUGCCAGCAGCCGCGGUAAUACAGAGGGGGCAAGCGUUAUUCGGAAUUAUUGGGCGUAAAGGGCGCGUAGGCGGCCGUGCAAGUGGAAGGUGAAAUCCCUCGGCUCAACCGAGGAACUGCCUUUCAAACUGCUUGGCUUGAGUCCGGGAGAGGUGAGUGGAAUUCCCAGUGUAGCGGUGAAAUGCGUAGAUAUUGGGAGGAACACCAGUGGCGAAGGCGGCUCACUGGACCGGAACUGACGCUGAGGCGCGAAAGCGUGGGGAGCAAACGGGAUUAGAUACCCCGGUAGUCCACGCCGUAAACGAUGAGUGCUUGGUGUAGCGGGUAUCGACCCCUGCUGUGCCGAAGUCAACACAUUAAGCACUCCGCCUGGGGAGUACGGUCGCAAGGCUGAAACUCAAA
RNAcentral lists this ribosomal RNA (825 nucleotides) under uncultured Acidobacteriota bacterium. RNAcentral's name for it is "bacterial SSU rRNA". It matches the Rfam family "Bacterial small subunit ribosomal RNA", at positions 73 to 905 of the family's 1533-position model. Lineage: Bacteria; Pseudomonadati; Acidobacteriota. The record is from RNAcentral.